UACGUAGGGAGCAAGCGUUGUCCGGAAUUAUUGGGCGUAAAGAGCUCGUAGGCGGUCUGUCGCGUCGGCUGUGAAAACCCGAGGCUCAACCUCGGGCCUGCAGUCGAUACGGGCAAACUAGAGUACUGCAGGGGAGACUGGAAUUCCUGGUGUAGCGGUGAAAUGCGCAGAUAUCAGGAGGAACACCUGGCGGCGAAGGCGGGUUGCUGGGCUGACUGACUGACGCUGAGGCGCGAAAGCCAGGGAGGCGAACGGG
RNAcentral lists this ribosomal RNA (256 nucleotides) under uncultured bacterium. RNAcentral's name for it is "partial 16S ribosomal RNA". It matches the Rfam family "Bacterial small subunit ribosomal RNA", at positions 524 to 776 of the family's 1533-position model. The record is from RNAcentral.